CGGACGGGUGAGUAACGCGUGAGAAUCUGCCCUUAGGAGGGGGAUAACGGUUGGAAACGACCGCUAAGACCCCAUAUGCCGAGAGGUGAAACAAAUUUUGCCUGAGGAUGAGCUCGCGUCCGAUUAGCUAGUUGGUAAGGUAAGAGCUUACCAAGGCGACGAUCGGUAGCUGGUCUGAGAGGAUGGUCAGCCACACUGGGACUGAGACACGGCCCAGACUCCUACGGGAGGCAGCAGUGGGGAAUUUUCCGCAAUGGGCGAAAGCCUGACGGAGCAAGACCGCGUGAGGGAAGAAGGUCUGUGGAUUGUAAACCUCUUUUGAUAGGGAAGAAGUUCUGACGGUACCUGUCGAAUCAGCCUCGGCUAACUCCGUGCCAGCAGCCGCGGUAAUACGGAGGAGGCAAGCGUUAUCCGGAAUUAUUGGGCGUAAAGCGUCCGUAGGUGGAUGUUCAAGUCUUCUGUCAAAGCGCGGAGCUUAACUCCGUAAAGGCAGAGGAAACUGAGCGUCUAGAGUGCGAUAGGGGCAAGGGGAAUUCCCAGUGUAGCGGUGAAAUGCGCAGAUAUUGGGAAGAACACCGGUGGCGAAAGCGCCUUGCUGGGUCUGCACUGACACUGAGGGACGAAAGCUAGGGGAGCGAAAGGGAUUAGAUACCCCU
RNAcentral lists this ribosomal RNA (656 nucleotides) under uncultured cyanobacterium. Its description in RNAcentral is "bacterial SSU rRNA". It matches the Rfam family "Bacterial small subunit ribosomal RNA", at positions 99 to 789 of the family's 1533-position model. The record is from RNAcentral. Lineage: Bacteria; Bacillati; Cyanobacteriota.